AUUGUAUAGUAGCCGAAUUUCUGGGUGAAAACGGGGGAACCAUAGGAAGUGAUAAGAAGGUGAGUGAACGCCGCAUGUUUGUUGGCUUUACUUCAUCGGGGGUGAAUUUCGUUCAAGGAACGAAUAGGGCAGCCUGCAGCAGUCCGAAUCCGUCAGCUAACCUCGUAGGCUUAUUUUCUGCAGGGAC
RNAcentral lists this small RNA (187 nucleotides) under Paenibacillus wynnii. Its description in RNAcentral is "c-di-AMP sequence". It matches the Rfam family "c-di-AMP riboswitch aptamer (ydaO/yuaA leader)". From Rfam's summary of the family: This family represents a conserved RNA structure found upstream of the ydaO and yuaA genes in Bacillus subtilis and related genes in other bacteria. The record is from Rfam by way of RNAcentral. Lineage: Bacteria; Bacillati; Bacillota; Bacilli; Caryophanales; Paenibacillaceae.